CUUUGGGAUGGUUCUCCUGGUUCCUCUCCUUUUUGGGGCCACAAACAGAAAAGCUGCCUAAACAGAAACACCAUUGAAGAAAAAAGAGAUUGCAGUCUUCUCUGUUUCUGCCAUGUUGAAGCUUGGAUACAUUGCUUUUGUGUCUUCUGUAGAAGAAAUCAUUUGAUUUGUUUAUUUCUUUUCUCUGCAAUAUGUGAAAAGUAAAUGUUGGUGGUGUCUAGUUUAUUUUAAAAAAAAUAGUGCAUUCCUCAAUGCAGUUGGAAGGGCUAAGAUUUAAAUAACAUUGAAAAUUAUAACUGAAAUAAAGCAGAAUUCCUGACUUUUCUAUUGUUCAGUAAGUUCUAUUGAUUUCCUCUGUGAUAUCUUUGGCAGGCAGAGUCUCCCUUCAUUAUUCUAAAUUUGG
RNAcentral lists this long non-coding RNA (403 nucleotides) under Homo sapiens (human). Its description in RNAcentral is "HSALNT0284399". The record is from RNAcentral. Lineage: Eukaryota; Metazoa; Chordata; Mammalia; Primates; Hominidae.